Non-coding RNA from Chlorocebus sabaeus (green monkey), 1626 nucleotides. Lineage: Eukaryota; Metazoa; Chordata; Mammalia; Primates; Cercopithecidae. The record is from RefSeq and is a predicted model, not a curated record.
AGAGAGAAAAAUUUAUUCCAAGGCAGCCAAGCAACGGGACACAAGUCUGGCCCAAAUCUGUCUCUCCAAGCUGGGGGCUGAGGCAGAUUUUAUACACAGAGAGUAGUAAGGCAUGAUGUGAUUGGAUCUUGUAAUGAGGGGAUUCAGGAGGCUUGAUCUGAUUGGAUCAUGCCCUGGAGUGAUGCCAGGACUCAGUCUGAUUGGAUCACAGAUCAUGCCACGUGGUGUCCACUUCUUAACUCAGUCCCUGUUCCUCAGUCUGAGCACUUAGGUUCCGCCUGGAUCUGUACACUUGGUUCAUCUGGGCAUGCCCAGGGUACGUAACUUGCAACCUGGGGGUCCACGGCAACUGAAAAACAACUCGCCAUUUUAUUACACAAAGUUGAACCAGAUUGGGCUGGAUCUGCGGUUACAAUGUUUGCCGGUUUAUUAUAAAGGAUACAACUAGAGGGGCGGGGCAGUGCCGGCAAGAUGGCUGCGCCCGAGAAGAUGACAUUUCCAGAGAAACCAAGCCACAGAAAGUACAGGGCCGCCCUGAAGAAGGAGAAACGAAAGAAACGCCGGCAGGAACUUGCUCCACUGAGGGACUCAGGACUCUCACAGAAGGAGGAGGACGCUUCUAUUGAAAAACAACAACUAGAAAAGCUAUGGGGAAGAGAGAGGCAAAGAUUACAUGAGGAGUGAUUGCUGAGCAGAAGGCACAGGAAGAAUUCAGAAUAAAGAAAGAAAAGGAAGAGGCGGCUAGAAAACGGCAAGAACAAGAGCGAAAGUUAAAGGAACAAUGGGAAGAACAGCAGAGGAAAGAGAGAAGAGGAGGAACAGAAAUGAGAGGAGAAGAAAGAAAAACAGGAAGCUGUCCAGAAGAUGAUGGAUCAGGCUGAAAAUGAGUUGGAAAAUGGCGCCACAUGGCAAAACCCGGAACCCCGCCUUGGAUUUCAGAGUCAUGGAGAAGGAUCCAGCUAAUUGUCCCUUCUACAGUAAAACAGGAGCUUGCAGAUUUGGAGAUAGAUGUUCACGUAAACAUAAUUUCCCAACAUCCAGUCCUACCCUUCUUAUUAAGAACAUGUUUACAGCGUUUGGAAUGGAGCAAUGCAGGAGGGAUGACUAUGACCCCGUCGCAAGCCUGGAGUACAGCAAGGAAGAAACCUACCAACACUUCCUAGAUAUCUAUGAGAAUGUGCUGCCCGAGUUCAAGAACGUGGGGAGAGGCCGGGCGCGGUGGCUCCGGCCUGUAAUCCCAACACUUUGGGAGGCUGAGGCGGGCGGAUCACGAGGUCAAGAGAUAGAGACCAUCCUGGCCAACAUGUUGAAACCCCGUCUUUACCAAAAAUACAAAAAUUAGUUGGGCGUGCACACCGUGCCCAGUAGAGGCACAAGUGACUGCAGCAGGGGCUGGUGCAGCCGGAGCCAGAACUGCAGGAGCCCUCACAGCUGGAGCCAAAGUUCUCUAGGUCCCGAAGUCAUGGCAGGAGGAGAUCAGGUAGCAGAGACAGAACUAUUCAGAGUCCCAAAUCCAAAUAAACCUGUUUUAUUCUUACAAAAAAUAAUAGGCCAGGCGCGGUGGUGCACACCUGUAAUCCCAGCACUUUGGGAGGCCGAGGGGGGCAGAUCUCCUGAGGUCGGGAG